RNAcentral lists this ribosomal RNA (497 nucleotides) under uncultured bacterium. RNAcentral's name for it is "partial 16S ribosomal RNA". It matches the Rfam family "Bacterial small subunit ribosomal RNA", at positions 29 to 507 of the family's 1533-position model. The record is from RNAcentral.
UAUGAACGCUGGCGGCGUGCCUAAUACAUGCAAGUCGAGCGAACGGACGAGAAGCUUGCUUCUCUGAUGUUAGCGGCGGACGGGUGAGUAACACGUGGAUAACCUACCUAUAAGACUGGGAUAACUUAGGGAAACCGGAGCUAAUACCGGAUAAUAUUUUGAACCGCAUUGUUCAAAAGUGAAAGACGGUCUUGCUGUCACUUAUAGAUGGAUCCGCGCUGCAUUAGCUAGUUGGUAAGGUAACGGCUUACCAAGGCAACGAUGCAUAGCCGACCUGAGAGGGUGAUCGGCCACACUGGAACUGAGACACGGUCCAGACUCCUACGGGAGGCAGCAGUAGGGAAUCUUCCGCAAUGGGCGAAAGCCUGACGGAGCAACGCCGCGUGAGUGAUGAAGGUCUUCGGAUCGUAAAACUCUGUUAUUAGGGAAGAACAUAUGUGUAAGUAACUGUGCACAUCUUGACGGUACCUAAUCAGAAAGCCACGGCUAACUACGUG